This 214-nucleotide unclassified non-coding RNA is filed under the name uncultured fungus. RNAcentral's name for it is "partial contains 18S rRNA, ITS1, 5.8S rRNA, ITS2 and 28S rRNA". The record is from RNAcentral. Lineage: Eukaryota; Fungi.
AAGGAUCAUUACAAAUCCACGUCUCUUUUGAGACUUGUUGAAAUGUUGAAGUGAAGGGUGGGGGUAAAAGGGGGAGACUCUCUAGAUUAUCUUCUUGAUAUCUCUGGAUAUAUCCGCUUAACCCUCGCUCGUCCUUCUACCCAUUUACUUUAUAUGUUGAUCAGUUUUAUACAUAAAUUUAACACAACUUAUAACAAUGGAUCUCUAGGCUCUU